CUGACCUUUUGAGGAAACAGGAAGAGGGGGAAUAUUAGCUCUGAUCCUCUGUGACAGAUGAUUCCUAUCAACCUAUGACAAGCCCAUCGACACACGCAUGCAAGAGACAGAAGCAGAAUUUGAAUCCAGACUGCCCUAAGCAGGAGUCAUCUCUUUAACCGUUAACCUCUGCCAGUAUGGAUAACUUGCCUUGGGUUAGGACUGUUGCUAAAGGUUUCCAAACACCAGUUUCCAAAAAUUCAGAAUGUUCUCUUUGGUUAAUGGGAAAAAAUAUCUACUCCAUCCAAAGGAAAGUAGCAGCAACUAUGGAGAUUCUGGCAAAAACAAUGUUUAAUCUCGACUCAGCCUUCAGGAGCAAAUGAAGAGUCCUGUUCCCCUGCCUCACACCAGCAGCUGCAGGAGAGCGGGGAGGCACGAGAGAGGUUGACUGUCUGCUGAGGGUGUUUAGCAGCUCCUAUGCCUGGGGCUCAUUAUCUGCAAAGGUGACGGACAUCACAGAAAUGGUUCAAAGGUCACCCAGGGAAGAACUGGCUAAUGAUUCCAGGCAAACGUUCCCAAGCCUAGAGGACUCUGCUCCUUGCCACUGAAUCCAGAGCUCCAGAGACUUCGAGGCAGUACAGGGUGAAUGCUGGAUAUUCAAUCCUACAACACAGUGAAAAGACCAGUCCAGCAGUGAAUAUGUAUUCCUACUGUGCCAACUUCUGGAUACCCUGAAUCCACGAUUACUAAAAGCCCGGUGCUGGUGCAUGGAGUCCCAGAACAUCAUCCACUAGCCUCAUUCUUAGCCUGUCAGAUCCAGGAGCUCCUUACAGCACCACAUCACAGCAGAAACACACAGAACCACAGACACAGGUGAGCUAGGCAACUUGUCCAUGAUCCUUACUCACUGGCCAA
Mus caroli (Ryukyu mouse) is the source of this 894-nucleotide long non-coding RNA. RefSeq lists it as uncharacterized. Lineage: Eukaryota; Metazoa; Chordata; Mammalia; Rodentia; Muridae. The record is from RefSeq and is a predicted model, not a curated record.